AUGAUGCCAACCAGGCCUACUUCCUCAAGCUCGUCGUCGUGCUCGGCAUCAUCGUCGCCGUCCUCUCCAUCCUCAUGCUCCCCGCCGACGUCGCCAACCGCCAGGCCUGCAAGCACGCCGCCUACAACGGGGCCUGCGCCCUUAUCCUGCCCAUGCUUGAUCCUGCCCAUGAACACGCUCUGGCUCGUCGUCUACAUCCUCGACGCUGUCCUCGUCUUCCUCGUCAUCCUGUUCGCCAUGUUCUAA
This 246-nucleotide ribosomal RNA is filed under the name Triticum aestivum (bread wheat). RNAcentral's name for it is "partial small subunit ribosomal RNA". The record is from RNAcentral. Lineage: Eukaryota; Viridiplantae; Streptophyta; Magnoliopsida; Poales; Poaceae.